AUAUACAAAAUGUAAAUAUAAACAAAUAACUUUUCGUUGAGAGAAACUCUCGUUAUUUAUGCUUAUCGAUUGGCCGAAACUGCUGUAGGUGCCUGGCGAUAAUUCGGCAUUGUUUAUGGCUGUUGACGCUAGAUGGCGCUCGACACGUUGUCCACAAAUUAAAAGCCCCGGCGAAAGGCGUUGAUUAGGCCCGAUAAAAUUCAUUAACUAAACACACAGUGGCCUGAGUAGUCGCCUAGGCAAGCACGAUUCAAGCAUUUUAAUAAUGCAGACAACACAAUUUGUGGUCUGCAGGAGAGAUGCGAGCUGAAUAGGCAGGGGGCCUAGGGACGGUACUAGCAGCAGCUAAAUGAGAUGUAAUUGAGACGCUGCGGCUGGGAUUUUUGCGUGUUUUGCGGCCUUAAUUGGAAAUACGAGUGCGGUUAGUAAAUUGUUUUGAAGAGUGUGCAAACUUCUUCAAGUCAAUAUUAUAAAGUAACUAUGCAUAGGCUGUGCGUUCAGUGUCGUGUGUUUGAGCUUUCGUUAGCAGCUCAGCCCAAGUUGGAAAUUUAGUUUUUGAAAUGAAAUUUAAGUAUCAAAGCAAACACUCAGCUCUCAAAAUAAUUAAAAGUAUUGCACGAAAUUUGGCAAAAGCACUGACUAAAUCAUUCUUUUAUCUGGGCACCCCAACACUUUGUCCCGCACAGCAGUUGGCCCUGGUCAGCUGCUUCCAUCCGCACUACAGCAUCUCGUAUUGGUCUCAUUGUCAUCUGUGUGCGUGUCGUAAUGCUGGACACAUUUCUGUAUGUGCUCUAUGAGUUCCUCAAGUACGUUUUCCCGAUACGCAUCCUCAAUGAACUCGACGAUCUGGUAUUGCCCAGCGAGACGGAGUAUAGUGUCUGGCAUGAUAUCUAAGGCCGCCGCAUUUUCUUUAAUCUCUGUCUCGUUUAAUAUUUAUUCUGUCUAUUUGAUAUGGCAACUAAUUGAUUGAUGAUGAUGUUGCUGUGCGGCAAGAGUUUCCAAUAAAAAGCAUUCCUGAGCCUAAA
Molecule: long non-coding RNA, 1025 nt
Organism: Drosophila mojavensis
Lineage: Eukaryota; Metazoa; Arthropoda; Insecta; Diptera; Drosophilidae
Exons: 2
Source: RefSeq, a predicted model, not a curated record